AAUAGAUACCCUGGUAGUCCACGCCGUAAACGUUGGGUACUAGGUGUGGCGUCCCGAUCAACGGAUGCCGUACCGAAGCUAACGCAUUAAGUACCCCGCCUGGGGAGUACGGCCGCAAGGCUAAAACUCAAAGGAAUUGACGGGUCCCCGCACAAGCGGCGGAGCAUGCGGCUUAAUUCGAUGCAACCCGAAGAACCUUACCUGGGCUUGACAUCACGGGAAAAGCCGUAGAAAUACGGUGUCCGUAAGGGCCCGUGACAGGUGGUGCAUGGCUGUCGUCAGCUCGUGUCGUGAGAUGUUGGGUUAAGUCCCGCAACGAGCGCAACCCUUGUCCUAUGUUGCCAGCACGUAAUGGUGGGGACUUCAUAGGAGACUGCCGGGGGACAACUCGGAGGAAGGUGAGGACGACGGUCAAGUCAUCAUGCCCCUUAUGCCCAGGGGCUGCACGCAUGCUACAAUGGCCGGUACAAUGGGCUGCGAACCCGGCGAGGGGGAGCUAAUCCUCAAAGCCGGCCUCAGUUCGGAUUGGAGUCUGCAACUCGACUCC
This 547-nucleotide ribosomal RNA is filed under the name uncultured bacterium. RNAcentral's name for it is "bacterial SSU rRNA". It matches the Rfam family "Bacterial small subunit ribosomal RNA", at positions 777 to 1319 of the family's 1533-position model. The record is from RNAcentral.